Molecule: ribosomal RNA, 388 nt
Filed under: uncultured eukaryote
Lineage: Eukaryota
Description: partial 18S ribosomal RNA
Rfam family: Eukaryotic small subunit ribosomal RNA
Source: RNAcentral
CAAGAGCGUAUAUUAAAGUUGUUGCAGUUAAAAAGCUCGUAGUUGGAUUUCUGGUACAAUGCGCCUGGCCCGCGACCGUUAGGUCUGUGAGUGCCGGUGCGCGUUUGCCAUCCUUCUAGAAAACGUUUCUACCCUUCACUGGGCCGGACUCGCGAUCUAGAUCUUUUACUUUGAAAAAAUUAGAGUGUUUAAAGCAGGCUUUUGCUGUGAAUACAUUAGCAUGGAAUAAUAAUCUAGGGCUUCGGUUCUAUUUUGUUGGUUUCUAGUACUGAAGUAAUGAUUGAUAGGGAUAGUUGGGGGUGCUAGUAUUGGCCGGCCAGAGGUGAAAUUCUUGGAUUCGGUCAAGACUAACUUAUGCGAAAGCAUUCACCAAGGAUGUCUUCUUUAA